RNAcentral lists this long non-coding RNA (303 nucleotides) under Anolis carolinensis (green anole). Its description in RNAcentral is "lncRNA (ENSACAG00000039601.1)". Lineage: Eukaryota; Metazoa; Chordata; Lepidosauria; Squamata; Anolidae. The record is from RNAcentral.
CGCCGUUUUCUUUCCUCGGAGAGGAUGCCGGAGGGGAAAAGGCGGCGGCGGCGGCGACUGCGCCUUUGCGCGCUCCUGGCAAGCUCUUGCCUUUCUUCCUGGAAAAGCCUCCCUUCGCCAAAGAGCCAAAGGCAGCUUGCGCAUCAGGGCUCCAGCCUGUUGUGUAGGUCUCAGCAUUGAAGAAAGAGGAAGCAAAAUCAUGUUGUUAUAUUUUAAAAACGUGGGUUUGGAGGCCCAGCGUGUCAAGAUCCCAAAGGACCUAAUAAGACUCAGACGGGAUGAAGGCAAAGAACUGAGGCAUUU